UAGGGAAUAUUGCAAAAUGGGCGAAAGCCCGAUGCAGCAACGCCGCGUGGGCGAUGAAGGCCUUCGGGUCGUAAAGCCCUUUUUGAGGGGAUGAGGAAGGACAGUACCCUCAGAAUAAGCCUCGGCUAACUACGUGCCAGCAGCCGCGGUAAAACGUAGGAGGCGAGCGUUAUCCGGAUUUACUGGGCGUAAAGCGCGUGCAGGCGGAUUGGAGAGUUGGAUGUGAAAGCUCCCGGCUUAACUGGGAGAGGCCGUUCAAUACUUCCAAUCUUGAGUGCAGUAGAGGGAAGUGGAAUUCCGGGUGUAGUGGUGAAAUGCGUAGAUAUCCGGAGGAACACCAGUGGCGAAAGCGGCUUCCUGGACUGUAACUGACGCUCAGACGCGAAAGCUAGGGUAGCAAACG
Molecule: ribosomal RNA, 403 nt
Filed under: uncultured bacterium
Lineage: Bacteria
Description: bacterial SSU rRNA
Rfam family: Bacterial small subunit ribosomal RNA
Source: RNAcentral